AGUGCAGUGGUGUAAAUGGGAGCAUAACUGGCAUGCGCUGGGAAGUAUCGGUUCGAGUCCGAUUUGCACUA
Molecule: transfer RNA, 71 nt
Filed under: Blautia celeris
Lineage: Bacteria; Bacillati; Bacillota; Clostridia; Lachnospirales; Lachnospiraceae
Also listed under: 1 other name
Description: tRNA-OTHER
Rfam family: tRNA
About the family: Transfer RNA (tRNA) molecules are approximately 80 nucleotides in length. Their secondary structure includes four short double-helical elements and three loops (D, anti-codon, and T loops).
Source: RNAcentral